AUACGUAGGGGGCGAGCGUUGUCCGGAAUGAUUGGGCGUAAAGGGCGCGUAGGCGGCCCGGUAAGUCUGGAGUGAAAGUCCUGUUUUUAAGAUGGGAAUUGCUUUGGAUACUGUCGGGCUUGAGUGCAGGAGAGGUAAGUGGAAUUCCCAGUGUAGCGGUGAAAUGCGUAGAGAUUGGGAGGAACACCAGUGGCGAAGGCGACUUACUGGACUGUAACUGACGCUGAGGCGCGAAAGCGUGGGGAGCAAACAGGAUUAGAUACCCUGGUAGUCCACGCUGUAAACGAUGAUUACUAGGUGUGUGGGGACUGACCCCUUCCGUGCCGCAGUUAACACAAUAAGUAUUCCACCUGGGGAGUACGAUCGCAAGAUUGAAACUCAAAUGAAUUGACGGGG
RNAcentral lists this ribosomal RNA (396 nucleotides) under uncultured bacterium. RNAcentral's name for it is "partial 16S ribosomal RNA". It matches the Rfam family "Bacterial small subunit ribosomal RNA", at positions 523 to 918 of the family's 1533-position model. The record is from RNAcentral.